RNAcentral lists this ribosomal RNA (465 nucleotides) under Vreelandella stevensii. Its description in RNAcentral is "partial 16S ribosomal RNA". It matches the Rfam family "Bacterial small subunit ribosomal RNA", at positions 338 to 795 of the family's 1533-position model. Lineage: Bacteria; Pseudomonadati; Pseudomonadota; Gammaproteobacteria; Oceanospirillales; Halomonadaceae. The record is from RNAcentral.
CCUACGGGGGGCUGCAGUGGGGAAUAUUGGACAAUGGGGGGAACCCUGAUCCAGCCAUGCCGCGUGUGUGAAGAAGGCCCUCGGGUUGUAAAGCACUUUCAGUGAGGAAGAACGCCUGGUGGUUAAUACCCAUCAGGAAAGACAUCACUCACAGAAGAAGCACCGGCUAACUCCGUGCCAGCAGCCGCGGUAAUACGGAGGGUGCGAGCGUUAAUCGGAAUUACUGGGCGUAAAGCGCGCGUAGGUGGCUUGAUAAGCCGGUUGUGAAAGCCCCGGGCUCAACCUGGGAACGGCAUCCGGAACUGUCAAGCUAGAGUGCAGGAGAGGAAGGUAGAAUUCCCGGUGUAGCGGUGAAAUGCGUAGAGAUCGGGAGGAAGACCAGUGGCGAAGGCGGCCUUCUGGACUGACACUGACACUGAGGUGCGAAAGCGUGGGUAGCAAACAGGAUUAGAUACCCUUGUAGUG